UUCGGGACGCCGGCGAGUGGCGAACGGGUGAGUAACACGUGGAGACCUGCCCUGGGGUGGGGGAUAACAGCUAGAAAUGGCUGCUAAUACCGCAUACGCCUUACGAGGGAAAGAUUUAUUGCCCCAGGAGGGUUCCGCGUCGGAUUAGCUUGUUGGUGGGGUAACGGCCUACCAAGGCGACGAUCCGCAGCUGGUCUUAGAGGAUGAUCAGCCACACUGGGACUGAGACACGGCCCAGACUCCUACGGGAGGCAGCAGUGGGGAAUAUUGCGCAAUGGGGGAAACCCUGACGCAGCGAUGCCGCGUGGGUGAAUAAGGCCUUAGGGUUGUAAAGCCCUUUCAGUGGGAACGAUGAUGACGGUACCCACAGAAGAAGCCCCGGCUAACUCCGUGCCAGCAGCCGCGGUAAUACGGAGGGGGCGAGCGUUGU
RNAcentral lists this ribosomal RNA (430 nucleotides) under uncultured bacterium. Its description in RNAcentral is "bacterial SSU rRNA". It matches the Rfam family "Bacterial small subunit ribosomal RNA", at positions 79 to 544 of the family's 1533-position model. The record is from RNAcentral.